RNAcentral lists this ribosomal RNA (1481 nucleotides) under Candidatus Calditenuaceae archaeon. Its description in RNAcentral is "bacterial SSU rRNA". It matches the Rfam family "Archaeal small subunit ribosomal RNA". The record is from RNAcentral. Lineage: Archaea; Thermoproteati; Nitrososphaerota; Candidatus Caldarchaeales; Candidatus Calditenuaceae.
ACUCCGGUUGAUCCUGCCGGACCCUACUGCUCUCGGGGUGAGGCUAAGCCAUGCAAGUCGGAGGUCUCAGGGAAUCCUGGGGCCUGGCGCACGGCUGAGUAACGCGUGGCCAACCUACCCUGCGGAGGGGGAUAACCCCGGGAAACUGGGGAUAAACCCCCAUAGGUGAGCAGCUCUGGAACGACUGCUCGCCGAAAACCCGGCGCGGGGACCCUCUGCGUCGGGGCCGCAGGAUGGGGCUGCGUCCUAUCAGGUUGUUGGUGGGGUAACGGCCCACCAAGCCUAAGACGGGUAGGGGCCCUGAGAGGGGGAGCCCCCAGAUGGACUCUGAGACAAGAGUCCAGGCCCUACGGGGCGCAGCAGGCGCGAAAACUUCGCAAUGGGCGAAAGCCCGACGGGGUUACCCCGAGUGCCACCCUCGUGGUGGCUUUUGCCCGCUGUAGAUAGGCGGGCGAAUAAGGGGAGGGCAAGUCGGGUGUCAGCCGCCGCGGUAAUACCCGCUCCCCGAGUGGUAGGGACUGUUACUGGGCCUAAAGCGCCCGUAGCCGGCCUAGUGUGUCCCUCGUUAAAUCCACAGGCCUAACCUGUGGGCUGCGGGGGAUACUACUAGGCUUGGGGGUGGGAGAGGCGCCCGGUAUUCCUAGGGUAGGGGUAAAAUCCUCUGAUCCUAGGAGGACCACCAGUGGCGAAGGCGGGGCGCCAGAACACGCCCGACGGUGAGGGGCGAAAGCUGGGGGAGCAAACGGGAUUAGAUACCCCGGUAGUCCCAGCUGUAAACGAUGCGGGCCAGGUGCCGGGACGGCUACGAGCCGCCUCGGUGCCGAAGGGAAGCCAUUAAGCCCGCCGCCUGGGGAGUACGGCCGCAAGGCUGAAACUUAAAGGAAUUGGCGGGGGAGCACUACAAAGGGUGAUCGCGUGCGGUUUAAUCAGAUUCUACACCGUGAACCUCACCAGGACCGACAGCAGAAUGAAGGUCAGUCUGAAGGGCUUACCUGACACGCUGAGAGGAGUUACAUAGCCGUCGUCAGCCUGUGCCGUGAGGUGAUCUGUUAAAUCAGGUAACAGGCGAGACCCGCGUGUGCAGUUGCUCCUCGGUAAGAGAGUACACUGCACAGACCGCUACUGCAAAGUAGAGGAAGGUGCGGGCAACGACAGGUGGCAUGGCCCGAAUGCCCUGGGCUACACGCGCGCGUCAAUGGCGGCAACAAUGGGAUGCAACUCCGAAAGGAGAAGCUAAUCCCCUAAAUGCCGUCUUAGUCUCGAUUGAGGCUUGCAACUCAGCCUCAUGACACUGGAAUCCUUAGUAAUCGGACGUUAGCAGCGUCCGGUGAAUAGGUCCCUGCUCCCUGCACACACCGCCCAUCAAUCCGACCGAGCUUUCUUAGGGUGAAGCUUCAUAAAGAAGAAGAACCCUAGGAAGGUGAGGUAGGAUAAGUUGUCACAAGGUACCCGUAGGGGAACCUGCGGGUGGAUCACCUCCU